AUGACCUACAUGGAUCAUGAAGUGGACUGGUUUGAUAGCUGCGACAGUGAUACUUGGUCAGUUCUAUGGAUUGAUGAUUUUCUUCUCCAAUUGGGCUAUGACAGAGCAAUGUCCAAGAUAGAUGUGUAUUGGAGCAAACCUGGAAAGUCUUUGUGUGAUGGCCUUCAGUUGAUUGCAUGUGAUGCAGACAUUGUCCUUAUGAUUGCUGCAAUAGUAGAUCACAAGAACUUGGUCUUGCUUGUAGACCAUGGUGACACCCUGGAGUCACUAACUGCUGAUGAUGUGUUGGUAGAGGGGAUGCUUGAGCUGCCAAGGGUUAUUACUCCAGUUAAGUCAGCAAAGGGAAAAGAAAAUGUGGACAACUUUGAGAAACCAGAAAUUGCAACAGAGAUGAGAUGUAACUACAAGAAAGCAAAGAGAUUCAUGUCAUUUGGUGAGGGCUGUAGCUCUAGGGUUCCAGAUCGAGAAUUUGAGGAAGAAGAUGGCAAUUGUGACAGUGAUGAUAGUGGUGCUGAAGAUGCAGGUGACAGUAGUGAAGAACAUGUAGAUGCAGAAGUUGAAACUGAUGAGGAUUUCUAUGAGAGUGAUUACGAAGUAGCACAAGGUGAUGAUGAUCUGUUUGAGAGCUAUGUAGACAAAGAUGUUGAUGACCAUAGACAGAAGGAGAUUGUGCCUGACUUUGAAGGAGAACUUCCUGAAGAUGCCCUAGAUGACAGUCAUCUAAACCUAUCAAAAGAAGAAGGAGACAAGCUUAGAUACAAAUUCAACACAUUCAAUCCGUCCACUGACCUUAAAGCACCAACUUUUAGAGUUGGCAUGCUUUUUGCUGAUAUGAAAGAGCUAAGGCUUGCUGUGGUUGCAUACAGUGUAAGAAACAGAGUAAAGGUUAAGAAGAUAAGGAAUACGGCCACCAAAUUUGAGGCAGUAUGCAAGCCUGGAUGUACUUGGUACUUGAAGGCAGGCAAAGAUAACAGGAGUACUAGCAUUCAGAUAAAGAAAUACCUUGACAAUCACACAUGCACCAAGGCUUGGGAUCUAAAAGCUUUGACUGCACCAUUCCUGACUGCACAAUUCAGAGAAGAAUUCAGAGACAAUGAGAAGAUGCCUUUGAGAAAGUUUUCAGAUAAAGUGGAGCAGGAAUUCAACAUGGUUGCAGAGAGAAGUAAGCUGGGAAGAGCAAGAAGAGCAGCAGUUAAACAAAUUAGAGGUGAAGAUGAUGACCAAUACAAUAUGUUGUGGGACUAUGGCCAAGAGCUUAGGAGGACUAACCCAGGAAGCAAGUUCUUCCUGUGCACUAAGGAGGUUUUUGAUGAUAAAACUAAAGAAACAAAAGACCACUUCUCAACACUGUACUGGUCAUAUAAUGCAUGUAAGAGAGGGUACCUUAAGGCUUGCAGACCAAUAAUUUUUCUCGAUGGGUGCCACAUAAAAACUAGAUACAAAGGGAACUUACUUACAUCAGUUGGUGUUGAUCCCAAUGAUUGUAUUUUCCCCAUAGCAUUUGGGCUAUGUGAAGUUGAGUCAACAUAUAGUUGGGAGUGGUUCUUAGCCACUUUAAAGGAUGACUUGAAUAUAAGCAACUCUUCUCCAUAUACAAUAAUGAGCGACAAGCAAAAGGGUUUAAUAGCAGCAGUGCAAAAAGUUUUCCCUUAUGCUGAACACAGACACUGUGUUAGGCACAUCUACCAGAACUUUCAUAAAAUACACAAGGGAGACCAACUCAAGAAUGAUCUAUGGGCAAUAGCAAGAUCUACACAUGAAAUUGCUUAUAGUAAGAACAUGGAGCAGAUGAAGGAACACAGCCUUGCUGCAUACAAGUGGGUGGAGAAGUUGGCACCUAAAACAUGGAUCAAAUCAUUUUUUCCCCUUUCUGCAAAUGUGACAUCCUUCUAA
This 1893-nucleotide ribosomal RNA is filed under the name Triticum aestivum (bread wheat). Its description in RNAcentral is "partial small subunit ribosomal RNA". The record is from RNAcentral. Lineage: Eukaryota; Viridiplantae; Streptophyta; Magnoliopsida; Poales; Poaceae.